This 148-nucleotide non-coding RNA is filed under the name Pan troglodytes (chimpanzee). Lineage: Eukaryota; Metazoa; Chordata; Mammalia; Primates; Hominidae. The record is from Rfam by way of RNAcentral.
GCUGGGCAUGGUGGUGCAUGCUUGUAAUCCCAGCUACCUGGGAGGCUGAGGCAGGAGAAUCGCUUGAACCCGGGAGGCAGAGGUUGCAGUGGGUGGAGAUCACGCCACUGCACUCCAGCCUGGGUGAAAGAGUGAGAUGCUGUCUCAA